This 478-nucleotide ribosomal RNA is filed under the name uncultured bacterium. Its description in RNAcentral is "bacterial SSU rRNA". It matches the Rfam family "Bacterial small subunit ribosomal RNA", at positions 28 to 524 of the family's 1533-position model. The record is from RNAcentral.
GACGAACGCUGGCGGCGUGCUUAACACAUGCAAGUCGAACGGUAAGGCCCUUCGGGGUACACGAGUGGCGAACGGGUGAGUAACACGUGGGUGAUCUGCCCUGCACUUUGGGAUAAGCCUGGGAAACUGGGUCUAAUACCGAAUAGGACUCCGGACUGCAUGGUCUGGGGUGGAAAGCUUUUGCGGUGUGGGAUGGGCCCGCGGCCUAUCAGCUUGUUGGUGGGGUGAUGGCCUACCAAGGCGACGACGGGUAGCCGGCCUGAGAGGGUGACCGGCCACACUGGGACUGAGAUACGGCCCAGACUCCUACGGGAGGCAGCAGUGGGGAAUAUUGCACAAUGGGCGCAAGCCUGAUGCAGCGACGCCGCGUGAGGGAUGACGGCCUUCGGUUGGUAACCUCUUUCAGCAGGGAAGAAGCGAAAGUGACGGUACCUGCAGAAGAAGCACCGGCUAACUACGUGCCAGCAGCCGCGGUAAU